UAAGGAAUAUUGGUCAAUGGACGAAAGUCUGAACCAGCCAUGCCGCGUGGAGGAUGAAGGUCCUCUGGAUUGUAAACUUCUUUUAUCUGGGACGAAAAAAGAGAAUUCUUUCUCACUUGACAGUACCAGAUGAAUAAGCACCGGCUAACUCCGUGCCAGCAGCCGCGGUAAUACGGAGGGUGCAAGCGUUAUCCGGAUUCACUGGGUUUAAAGGGUGCGUAGGCGGGCAGGUAAGUCAGCGGUGAAAUCCCCGAGCUUAACUUGGGAACUGCCGUUGAUACUAUUUGUCUUGAAUAUCGUGGAGGUUAGCGGAAUAUGUCAUGUAGCGGUGAAAUGCUUAGAUAUGACAUAGAACACCCAUUGCGAAGGCAGCUAACUACGCGAUUAUUGACGCUGAGGCACGAAAGCGUGGGGAUCAAACAGGAUUAGAUACCCCGGUAGUCC
Molecule: ribosomal RNA, 444 nt
Filed under: uncultured bacterium
Lineage: Bacteria
Description: bacterial SSU rRNA
Rfam family: Bacterial small subunit ribosomal RNA
Source: RNAcentral